GGGGAUAUAGCUCAGUUGUUAGAGUGCUUGCCUUUCAGGCAAAGGGCCCUGGGUUUAAUCCCCAGUACACCUC
Molecule: non-coding RNA, 73 nt
Organism: Ictidomys tridecemlineatus (thirteen-lined ground squirrel)
Lineage: Eukaryota; Metazoa; Chordata; Mammalia; Rodentia; Sciuridae
Source: Rfam